Molecule: long non-coding RNA, 2115 nt
Organism: Astatotilapia calliptera (eastern happy)
Lineage: Eukaryota; Metazoa; Chordata; Actinopteri; Cichliformes; Cichlidae
Source: Ensembl
UUAACAGAGGGAAAUUUCUCCGGGUUAACUGUCCAUCGGGUAGAUCACAGUGAAAGUGCUGACAUGAAACUCGGGUUGCUUGUUGUGGUGGCUGUGGCAGUUCUGCUGCCCAGCUUUUCUGAGAGCCGGAUCGUCUCCAAAUGCGAGCUCCAAGACAAGCUUGGGAAAGUGAUACGUCUGCCCAGGACACUCUUGGCUAUAAGUAAGUCCAAUGACUUAAAUCCAUGACAAAAGUCUGUACCUUAGCUGUAGACUAGAAUACCACUGGGGUAUUUAAGCCUAAUGCUGUUUUUUGAUUCUUCUGUAUUAGAAGAAAAUAUUAACUUUUAUAAAUCUGAUAGCUUCAGUUAUCAGUUCAAAGGCAGCAGUAAGAGCACAGAGAGAGAGAGAGAGCCUAGACCAGUUUGUCUAUUCAUUUAUAAAUAAAUCUGACAUCCAAUGAAAUAUAUUUCAUGUGGCCCCCAUGACUGAAAAAAGUAACCACUAAAGUAAAACUAAAAGCACAUACAUUUGAAAGAAAACAGAAAGAAGUAGCAACUCUUACUGGCUAUCACCUUUAUAAUUGCAUUUUUUUUCUCCUUUGUUUGCUUUUACUUCUUUGCAUGUGUGACUUGUUUGCCACAGUUGUCUGUGAAGUGGACAGGAUCUCUCAUCUGAACACCAGCUUGGUCAAUGUGCUUGGCAAGCGCACAACUACCACACUAAAGCCAACAACCCCCUCCACAACAGCAGUCACCUUAACGACCACUGGAGCGACGACACUGACAAGCACCAACUCAGCAACCACUGACCUGACUGCUACUACUACUACUACUUCUACUGCUAUUACUACUACUACUACUGUCAUGACUACUAGCCCUGCGAUUACUAACUCCACCAUCAGCUCAGUGAACACAACCCUUGUGUCAAACAGCACAAGUGGCAUGAACAGAAGAAAGCGACAUGCUCACUCGAGCAGUGAGGAGGAGAUCGGGCAAACUGGCGGAGGAGUGGAAGACAGCAGUGAGGAGGAAAACUUGAAGCCUUCGUCCCUCGGCCUUUACGGGCUCUUCCAGCUGCCUGACAACAUUUUCUGUAAUUCGGGGCUUCGUCCAUCCAGAAAUGUUUGCCGCACCUCCUGCAACUGUGAGUUCUUGCACCCACAGCGGGUUAAUUUAUUAUGUUUUGUUUUUUUGUUUUUUUUAUUUUGCAUAUUAAAAAUUGUUUCUUUUUUCCUCGCAGCCUUCACUGACAAUAACAUAACUGACGAUAUUGCUUGUUUCAUCAACACUGGUUACUGGAGGUAAGUUUCUGGACAGCAUAAUACAUAUAGGUCAAAUAAAUAAUCAAACCUUUGAAUAAAUAUCACAUGCCUGUAAUGAAUUAUUUGACUAAUUUAUUUGCAGUAUAUAUACUGUACAACAAUUGACAAAUUAAAGAAAAAUCCGAUAUAAACUGAUUUAGCAAGCUGUGACAUUAAUACAGCUUCAGCACUCCCUUGCAUGUCUCUGGAACUUUAAUGUAAGGACUGAACACCAUUGUUAAGAAAUCACUGUCUGAGAUGCUGGUUAGGAUUUCUGAAGGGGAUCCACCUCAUAUAUAGAUGCAAUAAUCAAACAUUACAAAUGUGUACAGCUUAGCUCACUCAGUAAAGCAUGUGAUCAAUAUGCCAUAAGGUUAAUGCUGAGGCCUGGGUUUGAAUCUGUCCCCAAAAUCAGUCAUUGCAUAUCUUCCAACAACUGUCAAAAAAGUGCAUUCUUUAUAUUAAAAAGAAGCAGAUACACAAAAAGCUUAAGUGAAGACACUGAAUAUAACACAAAUAUGUUAAUGUAAAGAGAAAUACAACAUAUGGUGUUGCCUAAUAAUUACCUUUUGUUUUAAUCCAACAGGAACAUUGUGAGGAGAGCCUCUCGCUCAUGUCGUCACAACAUGAAUUUCUUAAGAGAAUGUAAAUAAGUGGAUGUGGAAUCACAGUUUUUCCCUGCAGAAUCACAAAAAAUUCUUCACAGUUUCCAUCUCCAGUGAUCUGUGAUUAAGGAACCGCAUGCUCCAUUAUCUACUUUACCUUAUGAAGCACUAUUUUCUUUCUUUGGUGGAGGAAUCUUUCAAUAAACAUUACUUUGCAGCAUAUAUACA